UACGUAGGGGGCUAGCGUUGUCCGGAAUCAUUGGGCGUAAAGAGCGUGUAGGCGGCCCGGUAAGUCCGCUGUAAAAGUCAAAGGCUCAACCUUUGAAUGUCAGUGGAUACUGCCGGGCUAGAGUCCGGAAGAGGCGAGUGGAACUCCUGGUGUAGCGGUGGAAUGCGCAGAUAUCAGGAAGAACACCAACGGCGAAGGCAGCUCGCUGGGACGGUACUGACGCUGAGACGUGAAAGCGUGGGGAGCAAACAGG
Molecule: ribosomal RNA, 253 nt
Filed under: uncultured bacterium
Lineage: Bacteria
Description: partial 16S ribosomal RNA
Rfam family: Bacterial small subunit ribosomal RNA
Source: RNAcentral